GGACCCAUAGCUCAGUUGGUCAGAGCACCACGUUUACACCGUGGGUGUCGGCGGUUCGAGUCCGUCUGGGUCCACCG
This 77-nucleotide transfer RNA is filed under the name Micrococcus sp. FDAARGOS_333. RNAcentral's name for it is "tRNA-Val". It matches the Rfam family "tRNA". From Rfam's summary of the family: Transfer RNA (tRNA) molecules are approximately 80 nucleotides in length. Their secondary structure includes four short double-helical elements and three loops (D, anti-codon, and T loops). Lineage: Bacteria; Bacillati; Actinomycetota; Actinomycetes; Micrococcales; Micrococcaceae. The record is from RNAcentral.